This is a long non-coding RNA of Ictalurus punctatus (channel catfish), 2570 nucleotides long. RefSeq lists it as uncharacterized. The transcript is spliced from 6 exons. NCBI's taxonomy places the organism in Eukaryota, Metazoa, Chordata, Actinopteri, Siluriformes, Ictaluridae. The record is from RefSeq and is a predicted model, not a curated record.
UGCUGUUAAACAUUUAGAGAUUGAGGUUGUGGUGACUCAGUAUUUCACUCAGUAUAUCUGGGUAAGACACAGUGAACGACUCACUGCUGGCAUUCAUGAAGAAGUCAUAAACUCCACUGGAAUAAUAAAUAGGAUCUAAUAAAACCAUGAGUGGAAAUUAUUGGUGUAAAUUUGAUAGGAUAGAUUCUCCAACCUGGAACUAUAUCCUUCAGUCCACGCGGUGGCGGUAACGCGCUAACAGCUGCGUCUCCGACCAGUAGAAAUCACAGAAGAAGAAAAAGCUGCAGCGGGUAUCUCCUGAGCAGUUGAGUUAUUACACCGAACUAAUCAUCUCCAGAUUAAAUUAUUUCUGACAGUUUUACAGCUAGAUUUGAUCCAGUUUAAAAGUAAAAGCUGGUUAUUUUGUCUGUGUUUGAGGAAUUAAAACUCCGUUCUGUUUUUAAACCCGAGUACCUCAUCCAAGUUCUGCAGAUGUUCAUUAGCCCCUGAGACUAAAAUGCCAUCCAGAUAAACUGUGACGCGUGUGAUGUCUUGCAGAAUCCCUUCUAUUGUGCACUGGAAGAUCGCUGGACUUGAAGCAACUCCAAAUGGUGGCCUGUUUGUCCAAAGCCCGUUGUGGUGGCAGUGCAUGGCGUGUGUGGGGGAGCAGGAGUGGAUCUAAUCACAGCCUGUGAUAUUCGCCUGUGCACACAGGAUGCCUGGUUUCAGGUGAAGUCGUGUGUUCCCUGAUAGUCAAUGAUUGCUGGAGCUCUGGAAAUAGCAGGUGAGAUUGCAGGCCGGAGUCGCGUCGCUGUCCAAGGAACCAAAAUCAACCUCCUCUACUCCUGAGACCACAGUGUAACUGAGAGCCUAGACUACAUGGCUACUUGGAACAUGAACAUGUUGCAGACACAGGAUCUUAUGAAGUCAGCGCAGGCAGCCCUGGAAAAGAAGAGUCCGAAAGACGUGCCCUUCUCCAAGCUUUAAAGGAGAAGAUCCAGGGCUGUUGAAGCUGCGGUGGAACUGAGACUUCAUCAUCCCCAUAUCUUUAGUUUUUCUUGCUAAGUCUCAGUUUCUUUUUAGUCUUUUUAUUUUUAGACUGGUCAAAAGACUGAUUAGUGGAAGUGAAAUGAUGGAUGAACUUUUAAUUACUUGCUUUAUUAUUUGCAGGUGCCUUGUACAGUAAGACAGGGUAACUAAUACUCAAAAGCUUGUUUUGUGUGUUAACAUGUACAGUAGAUGUACAUAUUUUUUCUGGUCCUGUGUGACUGCAGAAUGUAGUGCAGUUAACACAGUAAAUUUCCUUGGAUGCUCACUUUUAACUCGAGGAGGUCACAGUUUGCCCAGACAUCUUUUUUUAAAUCCGUCACCCACACGUCAUUCUGGGGGACGAAGAGGAGGAAGCUGGACAGAUAAAUUUAUUUAUUUAUUUAUCAUUGCUGUGUUUCCUCAAUCGAGGUCAGAAAGAAGAAAAACAACACAACUGAUUUAAAAUAAAAAUAUAGAAAACAAUCUAAUGUAAGGUUCUGAUCCGGUUUGCUUUCAGCAGGAAGGCUGUCCUCUUUCCUGUUGCUCUUUCUCUUCUAUUAGUCCAUUUGUCCAGUCUGAAUCGGUUUGAUUCGUUUCGAGACGAUUCGGAGUCAAAUAAUUUUCUAGUGAGAGUCGCACACUUCCAAACGAACUAGACUGAGAUGAGUAUUUGAUUCUCACUAGAAAGUGAUUCGACUCUGAAUCAACUCGAAAUGAAUCAGUCAAACUGAUUCAGACUCUAUAAAAGGACUAUGAGAUGUGAUUAAGAUAUAUAUUCCAAUGUUUUGCUUUACAAUUCCACUGUGUGUGUGUGUGUGUGUGCGCGCGCGCGCGCGCACGUGCGCACGUGUGUUUUUCAGGAGAACGAGAAACUCUGACACAAGAGUACAUCCUGACCAUUGGUACUGUGUACACAUCAACAUACACACACGUCUCCAUGCUGGACAUCUCAGGAGCUUUCACACAGUGCUAGGAAUAUCCCGGGACAGAGAAACGCACCUCCUAAGUGAGCGAGUUUAGCGUCAACCGGUGAAAUUUGCUGUAGCGUGAACACUUCGCCUCUGUGAGCUUCAAUCUCCGUCAGGUUCACUGUAAUUAGACAUAAAAUGUACAUAAUGUUUAUUUUUCAUACAUUUAGGAUUUAAUGUUUUUUUUUUUUUUUUUUUUACUCUUUGAGGAACAUAAAUGAUAUUUCGAGGCAGCUUCUUCUUCACUACCUGCUCCGUUUGACUCAAAAAUGUAACGACCGGUUUCAAAAAGUCACAAUGUCUUCAGUUCAUGUGAUUUUACUGCUUAAUUUAAACAGGAAAUGUGAAAUAUUUUUUUCCUUUGUUUCCUCUACUGUCUUUUUGCUGUGAUCUUGAACACAGUUGUAAUUUUUUUUUAAAUAAUAAAUAAACGAUCAUUCUAGUUCUCUCACUUUCCUUGUCCUAAUUGUCCUGUAUCUGUUAAAUCCGUUUCAUCUCUGGUCUUUCUGUCUGUAUGAACACUUGUAGAAAUGACUUGUAGUCCAUAUUUUUAAAUGAUUCGUGAUUUUGAAUUUAAAUAAAGAUAUUCUUUAA